Unclassified non-coding RNA from Otolemur garnettii (small-eared galago), 97 nucleotides. It matches the Rfam family "Y RNA". Rfam says of the family: Y RNAs are components of the Ro ribonucleoprotein particle (Ro RNP), in association with Ro60 and La proteins. The Y RNAs and Ro60 and La proteins are well conserved, but the function of the Ro RNP is not known. The record is from Ensembl. NCBI's taxonomy places the organism in Eukaryota, Metazoa, Chordata, Mammalia, Primates, Galagidae.
GUCUGGUCUGAGUGUGGUGGUGUUUACAACUAAUUAAUCACCACCAGUUACAAAUUCCUUUGUUUCUUCUCUCACUGCUUUACUUGACUAGCCUUUG